This 245-nucleotide ribosomal RNA is filed under the name uncultured bacterium. Its description in RNAcentral is "partial small subunit ribosomal RNA". It matches the Rfam family "Bacterial small subunit ribosomal RNA", at positions 26 to 285 of the family's 1533-position model. The record is from RNAcentral.
AGAAUCAACGCUGGCGGCGUGCCUAACACACGCAAGUCGCACGAGAAAGGGUAGCAAUACCUGAGUAAAGUGGCGCACGGGUGAGUAACACGUGAAUUAUCUACCUCCGAGUGGGGAAUAACUGAGAGAAAUCUUAGCUAAUACCGCAUAACACUUACGAGUCAAAGCAGCAAUGCGCUUGGAGAGGAGUUCGCGGCAGAUUAGUUAGUUGGCGGGGUAAUGGCCCACCAAGACGAUGAUCUGUA